RNAcentral lists this long non-coding RNA (859 nucleotides) under Monodelphis domestica (gray short-tailed opossum). Its description in RNAcentral is "lncRNA (ENSMODG00000046071.1)". Lineage: Eukaryota; Metazoa; Chordata; Mammalia; Didelphimorphia; Didelphidae. The record is from RNAcentral.
GCAGAACGUUAUUUAGAAAUAAGGAUAACACAUCAUUAGGAAUAAAUCUUCUCAGUAAAUAAUUGUUUAUACGUUGCCUGUGAGCUCCUUGGGAGCAGGUAUUAUUUUUGCCUUUCCUUAUAUUCCCAGUGCUUAGAACAAUGCCUGACAUACAGUAAACACUUAAUAAAUGCUGGUUGACUUGAUCCCAGAAACUAAUAUGAACAGUUAGAAAUGUUUGAUAUAUUGUCAAUUGUUGAUAUUUUGCAUGCUUAGAACCCCUGAAUAACUGUCAGAUGUUCAAGUUAUAGUGGGGGGUGGGGGUGGGGAGGCUUCUCACAAUGGCAAGAAUGUGUUACAUACUUUUAUCAGGUGACAGCGUCUUUUGGAUUGAAUUUCAGAAUCAGUCAGAGGUGAAAAUAAGUGUGAGAACAAUUCCUAGACUCCUAGAUGAAAUCCAUCAAAGAUUCAAACUUGGUUUGAAGAUCUUGGACUGGGGCUGGGACAUGGAACUACAACUUGGACCUGAGACUCUGGAUCUUGGGCUGCUUCUGCUAAGACCACUCCUGGAUCUUCUCCCUUUGGAGCUUCAGCUUGGGUGAGUGAAAAACUGACCCUCCUUUCCUGGCUUCUGGAGAGAUUAAUUCCAGAGAGGCCUCCCCUUCUUGGAGGAGGCCGCAUGGGUUGAACCCUUGUUUAAUUCACCACCAAAUCCUCUGGCUGAGAGGUUAAUGAACCCUGCCAGGGUUGAGCUGGGGACGGGAGCAACAUUAGGGUGAUAGGUGAGACAUUUUCUCUACCCUCUUUUACAUUCCUCUACUUUCACUUUUUCCACCUUUUUGUAAAUAAAACUAUUGAAAGUAAUUUUGACUUGAGCUAU